This 879-nucleotide unclassified non-coding RNA is filed under the name Hevea brasiliensis (rubber tree). Lineage: Eukaryota; Viridiplantae; Streptophyta; Magnoliopsida; Malpighiales; Euphorbiaceae. The record is from RNAcentral.
UCCCGUGUGAGAUAUAAGGUAUGUAAACUCUAUUCCAUGUCUUUCUCACACAUUUUAAUUAUCAGUUUUGUGAUCUUCUUUCAGUAUGGUUGUCACUCCAGAGUCCAGACCUUGAUUGAUCAAAAAAUUAUUGGGAUGAAAUUAAUGAUUGUGAGUAUUAUAGGAUGCUUUGGUAAUAGAAAUAUAAUCUCACUAUUAAAAGCUUGUCCUUUGUAAGGAAACCGGUAAUAUUAAUAGACAUACAACUAAUAUGAUACGGAUUGCUACUGGUUCAACCACUAUCUCAUUUGUUGUCUAUAACUAGUUACCGUGGAUGCUUAUUAGAUGUGUUGUUUUGUUUCACAAUAAUAGGAUUAUGAUAAUUAUUUCACUACUAUCUUAAAUAGCCAAUUCGAUCUUUAGACUUAAUCUUGAUGAAGACAAUUAAACUUCAAAGUCAUGAAUUUGGGAAGGGGGAGAAGAUUUUUCCUCUUUCUCCAGUUUGAUUUUGGUAGGGUUCUUGCUCAUCAUGGUUUGAAAAUAUUUUAAAAAUUAAAAUUAAUACAAGUUCUUAAAUUUGAGGAACUUGAGGAAUUUGCUCAACUAAGAUCUUAUUUGUCUUAAUCAUGAAUUUUAUAUUUAUUUGGCAAAAGCUUUAAGGAAAAAAUGCCAAAGUGUUUAGCUGUUGUAGAUAUAUUUGAAAAUUUAAAAACCAUACAUUAGAAAUACUUUGUUCAUUAGAGCUCGAAGGAUAGUUUAGAAAUUUAACAAAAAUGUAAGGGUAAUAUUUUCUAAAAGAAUUGCUGAACAGUUCAAACACUGUAGGUCACUUUCACAUAUAAUUCUGAUUCUUCUCACUGUGUCACCACCUUCUUCAAGGAUGUACAACGAGCUUUUGGC